Long non-coding RNA from Rhincodon typus (whale shark), 439 nucleotides. RefSeq lists it as uncharacterized. Lineage: Eukaryota; Metazoa; Chordata; Chondrichthyes; Orectolobiformes; Rhincodontidae. The record is from RefSeq and is a predicted model, not a curated record. The transcript has 3 exons.
UGACAGUUAUAAUUAACAGGGUAAGAUUUUGAUAUCAUUCAGGGAGGAGAGUGCCAGUAGAAGACGCAAGAAACCUAAGAAUAGUAGAAAAUCAUGGGACAAAAAGAAAGGUGCCUGAAAUAUAACUCAAUAGUAUCAAGAAAGCAUGAUCCCUUGUUUUUGUACUGGGUUCAGUAGUGACAUUUUGUGCUCAAUUGGCAAGAUGGAUUAGUUGAGUUCAUGGAACAGUAUGGGAUCUGCCAGUUCUUUCUGUUCCCAAGAAGGAAUGUCUUGUACUCCAUCGCGUGACCCAGCUCAAAGCUGAUGAAACUUGCUGAACUGAAAAGAGUACGUUUGAGUGCCAGGCAGUCCUGGGACUACAUCUCACAAAGUGUUGGAUGGUGUUUAAGUGUCUCUGUCAUUUGUGCAAGUAAAUUACGCAACUGCUCAAUAUUCUUUU